CCCUGGUUAAAUCAGUUGGUAGAGCGCUCCACUGGAGAUGGGGAGGUCCCGGGUUCGAUACCCGGACCAGGCG
This 73-nucleotide transfer RNA is filed under the name Ixodes scapularis (black-legged tick). It matches the Rfam family "tRNA". Rfam says of the family: Transfer RNA (tRNA) molecules are approximately 80 nucleotides in length. Their secondary structure includes four short double-helical elements and three loops (D, anti-codon, and T loops). Further hydrogen bonds mediate the characteristic L-shaped molecular structure. tRNAs have two regions of fundamental functional importance: the anti-codon, which is responsible for specific mRNA codon recognition, and the 3' end, to which the tRNAs corresponding amino acid is attached (by aminoacyl-tRNA synthetases). tRNAs cope with the degeneracy of the genetic code in two manners: having more than one tRNA (with a specific anti-codon) for a particular amino acid; and 'wobble' base-pairing, i.e. permitting non-standard base-pairing at the 3rd anti-codon position. The record is from Rfam by way of RNAcentral. Lineage: Eukaryota; Metazoa; Arthropoda; Arachnida; Ixodida; Ixodidae.